UUUAGUUCGUACGUGACCUGGCGGAAGGUCAUUACUGAGUGAGGGCCCUCGGGUCAACCUCCACCCGUGUUUAUUUACCUUGUUGCUUCGGCGGGCCCGCCUUAACUGGCCGCCGGGGGGCUUACGCCCCCGGGCCCGCGCCCGCCGAAGACACCCUCGAACUCUGUCUGAAGAUUGUAGUCUGAGUGAAAAUAUAAAUUAUUUAAAACUUUCAACAACGGAUCUCUUGGUUCCGGCAUCGAUGAAGAACGCAGCGAAAUGCGAUACGUAAUGUGAAUUGCAAAUUCAGUGAAUCAUCGAGUCUUUGAACGCACAUUGCGCCCCCUGGUAUUCCGGGGGGCAUGCCUGUCCGAGCGUCAUUGCUGCCCUCAAGCACGGCUUGUGUGUUGGGCCCCGUCCUCCGAUUCCGGGGGACGGGCCCGAAAGGCAGCGGCGGCACCGCGUCCGGUCCUCGAGCGUAUGGGGCUUUGUCACCCGCUCUGUAGGCCCGGCCGGCGCUUGCCGAUCAACCCAAAUUUUUAUCCAGGUUGACCUCGGAUCAGGUAGGGAUACCCGCUGAACUUAAGCAUACAAA
This 574-nucleotide ribosomal RNA is filed under the name Scopulariopsis brevicaulis (arsenic fungus). Its description in RNAcentral is "eukaryotic LSU rRNA". The stretch from base 207 to 359 matches the Rfam family "5.8S ribosomal RNA". The record is from RNAcentral. Lineage: Eukaryota; Fungi; Ascomycota; Sordariomycetes; Microascales; Microascaceae.